This 421-nucleotide ribosomal RNA is filed under the name uncultured beta proteobacterium Band06954. Its description in RNAcentral is "partial 16S ribosomal RNA". It matches the Rfam family "Bacterial small subunit ribosomal RNA", at positions 223 to 621 of the family's 1533-position model. Lineage: Bacteria; Pseudomonadati; Pseudomonadota; Betaproteobacteria. The record is from RNAcentral.
GGAGCGGCCGAUGUCUGAUUAGCUAGUUGGUGGGGUAAUGGCCUACCAAAGCNNUUNCGAUCAGUAGCUGNGUCUGAGAGGACGGCCAGCCACACUGGGACUGAGACACGGCCCAGACUNCUACGGGAGGCAGCANGUGGGGAAUUUUGGACAAUGGGCGCAAGCCUGAUCCAGCCAUGCCGCGUGAGUGAAGAAGGCCUUCGGGUUGUAAAGCUCUUNUCAGUNCNNGGGAAGAAAAGGUUGCNGACNUAAUANAUCGCAAUUCAUGACGGUACCGGAAGAAGAAGCACCGGCUNAACUACGUGCCAGCNAGCCGCGGUNAAUACGUAGGGUGCGAGCGUUAAUCGGAAUUACUGGGCGUAAAGGGUGCGCAGGCGGUUUUGUAAGUCAGAUGUGAAAUCCCCGGGCUUAACCUGGGAAC